This 608-nucleotide ribosomal RNA is filed under the name uncultured bacterium. RNAcentral's name for it is "bacterial SSU rRNA". It matches the Rfam family "Bacterial small subunit ribosomal RNA", at positions 215 to 842 of the family's 1533-position model. The record is from RNAcentral.
CCAGUACAGGAUGGACCCGCGUCUGAUUAGCUAGUUGGUAAGGUAACGGCUUACCAAGGCGACGAUCAGUAGCCGACCUGAGAGGGUGAUCGGCCACAUUGGAACUGAGACACGGUCCAAACUCCUACGGGAGGCAGCAGUGGGGAAUAUUGCACAAUGGGCGAAAGCCUGAUGCAGCAACGCCGCGUGAGUGAUGAAGGCCUUCGGGUCGUAAAACUCUGUCCUCAAGGAAGAUAAUGACGGUACUUGAGGAGGAAGCCCCGGCUAACUACGUGCCAGCAGCCGCGGUAAUACGUAGGGGGCUAGCGUUAUCCGGAUUUACUGGGCGUAAAGGGUGCGUAGGCGGUCUUUCAAGUCAGGAGUGAAAGGCUACGGCUCAACCGUAGUAAGCUCUUGAAACUGGGAGACUUGAGUGCAGGAGAGGAGAGUGGAAUUCCUAGUGUAGCGGUGAAAUGCGUAGAUAUUAGGAGGAACACCAGUUGCGAAGGCGGCUCUCUGGACUGUAACUGACGCUGAGGCACGAAAGCGUGGGGAGCAAACAGGAUUAGAUACCCUGGUAGUCCACGCUGUAAACGAUGAGUACUAGGUGUCGGGGGUUACCCCCUUCG